AUUGAACGCUGGCGGCAUGCUUUACACAUGCAAGUCGAACGGCAGCACGAACUUCGGUUUGGUGGCGAGUGGCGAACGGGUGAGUAAUGCAUCGGAACGUGUCCUAAAGUGGGGGAUAACGCAUCGAAAGAUGCGCUAAUACCGCAUAAUCUCUGAGGAGGAAAGUAGGGGAUCGAAAGACCUUAUGCUUUUGGAGCGGCCGAUGUCUGAUUAGCUAGUUGGUAGGGUAAUGGCUACCAAGGCGACGAUCAGUAGUUGGUCUGAGAGGAUGGCCAACCACACUGGGACUGAGACACGGCCCAGACUCCUACGGGAGGCAGCAGUGGGGAAUUUUGGACAAUGGGCGCAAGCCUGAUCCAGCAAUGCCGCGUGAGCGAAGAAGGCCUCGG
RNAcentral lists this ribosomal RNA (389 nucleotides) under uncultured bacterium. Its description in RNAcentral is "bacterial SSU rRNA". It matches the Rfam family "Bacterial small subunit ribosomal RNA", at positions 30 to 420 of the family's 1533-position model. The record is from RNAcentral.